UCUCUUGAAUGUAAUGGUAAGAGCUGCAGGAGUGCCAGGUGUGUGUUCCAGUCCCCAGCAUUUGGUUUGCACUUGUCCUGGUCAGACACAGGUCCAACUUCCUCAGGCCUUAACCCAGUAGAGGGAGAAUUAAGGACUGGCAGUGUUAAGGUGAUUGGUGUGACAGGGGUUAAACUGGGAAAACAUUGGGGAAUUCCUGAUUUGUCUGUUUGCCAAACUCACCCAAACCUCUGCUAGGAAGAGAUGGACUGGAAAAGUUGAGGCAGCAAUGAAAUGGAAAACUGGGGAUAUUGAAACUGUAAUUGCUGAAACUAAAUGUGUCCAAGCAGCAGCUCUUGUUGUGCAGGGAAUAACUCCUGUCAGCAGCAAGGUCCUGACUGAAGUGGCAGCUGCAGUUGUUCCUGUGGUGUGGGCCUGUGGAAUUGCAGGAGAGUGGAAGAGGGCAGAACCUGACGUGAAUGCAAGAACCUGCCAGGA
This is a long non-coding RNA of Pseudopipra pipra, 477 nucleotides long. RefSeq lists it as uncharacterized. The transcript has 3 exons. Lineage: Eukaryota; Metazoa; Chordata; Aves; Passeriformes; Pipridae. The record is from RefSeq and is a predicted model, not a curated record.